RNAcentral lists this long non-coding RNA (257 nucleotides) under Carica papaya (papaya). RNAcentral describes it as "long non-coding RNA (CPAP_LNC002510)". The record is from RNAcentral. Lineage: Eukaryota; Viridiplantae; Streptophyta; Magnoliopsida; Brassicales; Caricaceae.
AAAAGAACGGUGAUCACAGUGGUAUAAAAAUUGCAUCGAACGGAGGUCGGGAAGGGCCUUAUCGGAGGUAAAAAUCGAGGAGGGGCGCGACGGCGCCGCUGGGCUUCGGCUGGGUUUUUCGGCCGUUUGGCCGGUGGUUUGGCUCCGGUUUGGCUCCAAUUUGGUCACAGGCGGACUCAGCAUCGAAAAACGAGCAAGGGGGAAAACAUUUACCUCGAUCGGCAGUCGUCCCCGGUGCGGCGGUGGGUGGCGGCGGC